GCUUCAGUAGCUCAGUUGGUUAGAGCACCUGACUGUUAAUCAGGGGGUCGUUGGUUCAACCCCAUCCUGAAGCG
Molecule: transfer RNA, 74 nt
Filed under: Muribaculaceae bacterium
Lineage: Bacteria; Pseudomonadati; Bacteroidota; Bacteroidia; Bacteroidales; Muribaculaceae
Description: tRNA-Asn
Rfam family: tRNA
About the family: Transfer RNA (tRNA) molecules are approximately 80 nucleotides in length. Their secondary structure includes four short double-helical elements and three loops (D, anti-codon, and T loops).
Source: RNAcentral